Molecule: ribosomal RNA, 497 nt
Filed under: uncultured bacterium
Lineage: Bacteria
Description: partial 16S ribosomal RNA
Rfam family: Bacterial small subunit ribosomal RNA
Source: RNAcentral
GAUGAACGCUGGCGGCGUGCCUAAUACAUGCAAGUCGAGCGAACGGACGAGAAGCUUGCUUCUCUGAUGUUAGCGGCGGACGGGUGAGUAACACGUGUAUAACCUACCUAUAAGACUGGGAUAACUUCGGGAAACCGGAUCUAAUACCGGAUAAUAUUUUGAACCGCAUGGUUCAAAAGUGAAAGACGGUCUUGCUGUCACUUAUAGAUGGAUCCGCGCUGCAUUAGCUAGUUGGUAAGGUAACGGCUUACCAAGGCAACGAUGCAUAGCCGACCUGAGAGGGUGAUCGGCCACACUGGAACUGAGACACGGUCCAGACUCCUACGGGAGGCAGCAGUAGGGAAUGUUCCGCAAUGGGCGAAAGCCUGACGGAGCAACGCCGCGUGAGUGAUGAAGGUCUUCGGAUCGUAAAGCUCUGUUAUUAGGGAAGAACAUAUGUGUAAGUAACUGUGCACAUCUUGACGGUACCUAAUCAGAAAGCAACGGCUAACUACGUG